GGGAAGGGGUGACUAGUGGCAGAGUGAGGGAAGGAAGGGGUGACUAGUGACAAAGUGAGGGAGGUGGUGACUGUCACUAGUCACCACCUCCCUCACUCUGUCACUAGUCACCACCUCCCUCUGUCACUACUCCCUCCCUCCUUCUGUCACUAGUCACCCCCUCCCUCACUCUGUCACCUGUCACCCCCUCACUCUGUCACCUGUCACCCCCUCACUCUGUCACUAGUCACCCCCUUACUC
Pelobates cultripes (western spadefoot toad) is the source of this 240-nucleotide non-coding RNA. The record is from the annotation of a GenBank genome assembly. NCBI's taxonomy places the organism in Eukaryota, Metazoa, Chordata, Amphibia, Anura, Pelobatidae.